RNAcentral lists this ribosomal RNA (497 nucleotides) under uncultured bacterium. Its description in RNAcentral is "partial 16S ribosomal RNA". It matches the Rfam family "Bacterial small subunit ribosomal RNA", at positions 28 to 507 of the family's 1533-position model. The record is from RNAcentral.
GAUGAACGCUGGCGGCGUGCCUAAUACAUGCAAGUCGAGCGAACAGACGAGGACCUUGCUCCUCUGACGUUAGAGGCGGACGUGUGAGUAACACGUGGAUAACCUACCUUUAAGAUAGGGACAACAUCGGGAAACUGGUGCUAAUACCGGAUAACACCUUCAACCGCAUGGUUUAAAAAUGACAGACGGUUUUGCAUUCACUCAUAGAUGGACCCGUGCUGCAUUAGCUAGUUGGUAAGGAAACGGGUUACCAAGGCGGCGAUGCGUAGCCGACCGGAGAGGGUGGUCGGCCACACGGGAACGUGAACACGGUCCAUGCUCCUGCGGGAGGCAGCAGAAGGGAACCUUCCGCAAUGGGCGAAAGCCUUGCGGAGCAACGCCGCGUGAGUGAUAAAGGUCUUCGGUUCGUAAAGCUCUGUUAUUAGGGAAAAACAAAUUUGUAAGUAAAUGUGCACGUCGUGACGGUACCUAAUCAGAAAGCCACGGCUAACUACGUG